UACGAAGGGGGCUAGCGUUGCUCGGAAUCACUGGGCGUAAAGCGCACGUAGGCGGCUUGUUAAGUCAGGGGUGAAAUCCUGGAGCUCAACUCCAGAACUGCCUUUGAUACUGGCGAGCUCGAGUCCGGGAGAGGUGAGUGGAACUGCGAGUGUAGAGGUGAAAUUCGUAGAUAUUCGCAAGAACACCAGAGGCGAAGGCGGCUCACUGGCCCGGUACUGACGCUGAGGUGCGAAAGCGUGGGGAGCAAACAGG
RNAcentral lists this ribosomal RNA (253 nucleotides) under uncultured bacterium. RNAcentral's name for it is "partial 16S ribosomal RNA". It matches the Rfam family "Bacterial small subunit ribosomal RNA", at positions 524 to 776 of the family's 1533-position model. The record is from RNAcentral.